UACGUAGGGUGCGAGCGUUAAUCGGAAUACUGGGCGUAAAGCGUGCGCAGGCGGUUCGUUGUGUCGGUGGUGAAAUCCCCGGGCUUAACCUGGGAAUGGCCAUGGAAACUGGCGAACUGGAGUGCGGCAGAGGGGGUGGAAUUCCGCGUGUAGCAGUGAAAUGCGUAGAGAUGCGGAGGAACACCGAUGGCGAAGGCAGCCCCCUGGGCUAGCACUGACGCUCAGGCACGAAAGCGUGGGGAGCAAACAGG
This 251-nucleotide ribosomal RNA is filed under the name uncultured bacterium. Its description in RNAcentral is "partial 16S ribosomal RNA". It matches the Rfam family "Bacterial small subunit ribosomal RNA", at positions 524 to 776 of the family's 1533-position model. The record is from RNAcentral.